RNAcentral lists this ribosomal RNA (2927 nucleotides) under Salmonella enterica subsp. enterica serovar Enteritidis str. EC20090193. RNAcentral's name for it is "bacterial LSU rRNA". It matches the Rfam family "Bacterial large subunit ribosomal RNA". Lineage: Bacteria; Pseudomonadati; Pseudomonadota; Gammaproteobacteria; Enterobacterales; Enterobacteriaceae. The record is from RNAcentral. RNAcentral also lists the same sequence under 20 other names.
GGGUUGUGAGGUUAAGCGACUAAGCGUACACGGUGGAUGCCCUGGCAGUCAGAGGCGAUGAAGGGCGUACUAAUCUGCGAUAAGCGCCGGUAAGGUGAUAUGAACCGUUAUAACCGGCGAUACCCGAAUGGGGAAACCCAGUGUGAUUCGUCACACUAUCAUUAACUGAAUCCAUAGGUUAAUGAGGCGAACCGGGGGAACUGAAACAUCUAAGUACCCCGAGGAAAAGAAAUCAACCGAGAUUCCCCCAGUAGCGGCGAGCGAACGGGGAGGAGCCCAGAGCCUGAAUCAGCAUGUGUGUUAGUGGAAGCGUCUGGAAAGGCGCGCGAUACAGGGUGACAGCCCCGUACACAAAAGCGCAUGUGCUGUGAGCUCGAUGAGUAGGGCGGGACACGUGGUAUCCUGUCUGAAUAUGGGGGGACCAUCCUCCAAGGCUAAAUACUCCUGACUGACCGAUAGUGAACCAGUACCGUGAGGGAAAGGCGAAAAGAACCCCGGCGAGGGGAGUGAAAAAGAACCUGAAACCGUGUACGUACAAGCAGUGGGAGCACAGGUUUACCUGUGUGACUGCGUACCUUUUGUAUAAUGGGUCAGCGACUUAUAUUCUGUAGCAAGGUUAACCGAAUAGGGGAGCCGGAGGGAAACCGAGUCUUAAUUGGGCGUUAAGUUGCAGGGUAUAGACCCGAAACCCGGUGAUCUAGCCAUGGGCAGGUUGAAGGUUGGGUAACACUAACUGGAGGACCGAACCGACUAAUGUUGAAAAAUUAGCGGAUGACCUGUGGCUGGGGGUGAAAGGCCAAUCAAACCGGGAGAUAGCUGGUUCUCCCCGAAAGCUAUUUAGGUAGCGCCUCGUGAAUUCAUCUCCGGGGGUAGAGCACUGUUUCGGCUAGGGGGCCAUCCCGGCUUACCAACCCGAUGCAAACUGCGAAUACCGGAGAAUGUUAUCACGGGAGACACACGGCGGGUGCUAACGUCCGUCGUGAAGAGGGAAACAACCCAGACCGCCAGCUAAGGUCCCAAAGUCAUGGUUAAGUGGGAAACGAUGUGGGAAGGCCCAGACAGCCAGGAUGUUGGCUUAGAAGCAGCCAUCAUUUAAAGAAAGCGUAAUAGCUCACUGGUCGAGUCGGCCUGCGCGGAAGAUGUAACGGGGCUAAACCAUGCACCGAAGCUGCGGCAGCGACACUGUGUGUUGUUGGGUAGGGGAGCGUUCUGUAAGCCUGCGAAGGUGGCCUGUGAGGGUUGCUGGAGGUAUCAGAAGUGCGAAUGCUGACAUAAGUAACGAUAAAGCGGGUGAAAAGCCCGCUCGCCGGAAGACCAAGGGUUCCUGUCCAACGUUAAUCGGGGCAGGGUGAGUCGACCCCUAAGGCGAGGCCGAAAGGCGUAGUCGAUGGGAAACGGGUUAAUAUUCCCGUACUUGGUGUUACUGCGAAGGGGGGACGGAGAAGGCUAUGUUGGCCGGGCGACGGUUGUCCCGGUUUAAGCGUGUAGGUGUGUGUUCCAGGUAAAUCCGGUUCACUUUAACACUGAGGCGUGACGACGAGGCACUACGGUGCUGAAGCAACAAAUGCCCUGCUUCCAGGAAAAGCCUCUAAGCAUCAGGUAACAUCAAAUCGUACCCCAAACCGACACAGGUGGUCAGGUAGAGAAUACCAAGGCGCUUGAGAGAACUCGGGUGAAGGAACUAGGCAAAAUGGUGCCGUAACUUCGGGAGAAGGCACGCUGACACGUAGGUGAAGUGAUUUACUCAUGGAGCUGAAGUCAGUCGAAGAUACCAGCUGGCUGCAACUGUUUAUUAAAAACACAGCACUGUGCAAACACGAAAGUGGACGUAUACGGUGUGACGCCUGCCCGGUGCCGGAAGGUUAAUUGAUGGGGUCAGCGCAAGCGAAGCUCCUGAUCGAAGCCCCGGUAAACGGCGGCCGUAACUAUAACGGUCCUAAGGUAGCGAAAUUCCUUGUCGGGUAAGUUCCGACCUGCACGAAUGGCGUAAUGAUGGCCAGGCUGUCUCCACCCGAGACUCAGUGAAAUUGAACUCGCUGUGAAGAUGCAGUGUACCCGCGGCAAGACGGAAAGACCCCGUGAACCUUUACUAUAGCUUGACACUGAACAUUGAGCCUUGAUGUGUAGGAUAGGUGGGAGGCUUUGAAGUGUGGACGCCAGUCUGCAUGGAGCCGACCUUGAAAUACCACCCUUUAAUGUUUGAUGUUCUAACGUGGACCCGUUACCCGGGUUGCGGACAGUGUCUGGUGGGUAGUUUGACUGGGGCGGUCUCCUCCUAAAGAGUAACGGAGGAGCACGAAGGUUGGCUAAUCCUGGUCGGACAUCAGGAGGUUAGUGCAAUGGCAUAAGCCAGCUUGACUGCGAGCGUGACGGCGCGAGCAGGUGCGAAAGCAGGUCAUAGUGAUCCGGUGGUUCUGAAUGGAAGGGCCAUCGCUCAACGGAUAAAAGGUACUCCGGGGAUAACAGGCUGAUACCGCCCAAGAGUUCAUAUCGACGGCGGUGUUUGGCACCUCGAUGUCGGCUCAUCACAUCUGGGGCUGAAGUAGGUCCCAAGGGUAUGGCUGUUCGCCAUUUAAAGUGGUACGCGAGCUGGGUUUAGAACGUCGUGAGACAGUUCGGUCCCUAUCUGCCGUGGGCGCUGGAGAACUGAGGGGGGCUGCUCCUAGUACGAGAGGACCGGAGUGGACGCAUCACUGGUGUUCGGGUUGUCAUGCCAAUGGCACUGCCCGGUAGCUAAAUGCGGAAGAGAUAAGUGCUGAAAGCAUCUAAGCACGAAACUUGCCCCGAGAUGAGUUCUCCCUGAGACUUAAAGUCUCCUGAAGGAACGUUGAAGACGACGACGUUGAUAGGCCGGGUGUGUAAGCGCAGCGAUGCGUUGAGCUAACCGGUACUAAUGAACCGUGAGGCUUAACCUUACAACGCCGAAG